Molecule: ribosomal RNA, 599 nt
Filed under: uncultured bacterium
Lineage: Bacteria
Description: partial 16S ribosomal RNA
Rfam family: Bacterial small subunit ribosomal RNA
Source: RNAcentral
UUAGUUAGUUGGUAGGGUAAUGGCCUACCAAGGCUGCGAUGGGUAGCCGGUCUGAGAGGAUGGUCGGCCACACUGGGACUGAGACACGGCCCAGACUCCUACGGGAGGCAGCAGUGGGGAAUUUUGCGCAAUGGGGGGAACCUUGACGCAGCGACGCCGCGUGGGUGAUGAAGGCCUUCGGGUUGUAAAGCCCUGUUGGGGGGGAAGAUAAUGACGGUACCCCCUGAGGAAGCCCCGGCUAACUACGUGCCAGCAGCCGCGGUAAGACGUAGGGGGCGAGCGUUGUCCGGAAUUACUGGGCGUAAAGGGCGUGUAGGCGGCUUUUCAAGUCGGCUGUGAAAUUCCCCGGCUUAACCGGGGGGGUGCAGUCGAAACUGAUGGGCUUGAGUGCAGGAGAGGGUGGUGGAAUUCCCGGUGUAGCGGUGACAUGCGUAGAUAUCGGGAGGAACACCGGUGGCGAAGGCGACCUCCUGGCCUGUUACUGACGCUGAGGCGCGAAAGCUGGGGGAGCAAACAGGAUUAGAUACCCUGGUAGUCCCAGCUGUAAACUCUGGGUACUAGGUGUGGGGGGCUUCGAUGCCCUCUGUGCCGUAGUUAAC